Molecule: ribosomal RNA, 346 nt
Filed under: uncultured bacterium
Lineage: Bacteria
Description: partial 16S ribosomal RNA
Rfam family: Bacterial small subunit ribosomal RNA
Source: RNAcentral
CCUACGGGGGGCAGCAGUGAGGAAUAUUGGUCAAUGGGCGCGAGCCUGAACCAGCCAAGUAGCGUGAAGGAUGACUGCCCUACGGGUUGUAAACUUCUUUUAUAAAGGAAGAAAGUGAGGCACGUGUGCCUUUUUGUAUGUACUUUAUGAAUAAGGAUCGGCUCACUCCGUGCCAGCAGCCGCGGUAAUACGGAGGAUCCGAGCGUUAUCCGGAUUUGUAGGGUUUAAAGGGAGCGUAGAUGGGUUGUUAAGUCAGUUGUGAAAUUUGUCGGCUCAACCGUAAAAUUGCUAUUGAUACUGGCAGUCUUGAGUACAGUUGAGGUAGGCGGAAUUCGUGGUGUAGCGG